RNAcentral lists this long non-coding RNA (2940 nucleotides) under Canis lupus familiaris (dog). RNAcentral's name for it is "lncRNA (ENSCAFG00000053107.1, ENSCAFG00845016534.1)". The record is from RNAcentral. Lineage: Eukaryota; Metazoa; Chordata; Mammalia; Carnivora; Canidae.
UUUUUUCCUGCCUGCUUCUUUUUAAUGAAUCAUAUUUUGGACAGAAGCCAUUUUCCUAUUACACACAAAUUCCCUUUUCCCAGCAAAUGGGAUUAUAUAAAGUUGAUUGCAUAAUGCUGUUGUUUUCAUGUGAUGUAGAAAACAUGACCAGUCUACUCCCAUUGUGUUCAUGUUGUCAGUUAAUCCAAAGUAAAUUAUAUAGGGCCACUAAUCAAAAGCUAAGAAAAAUAUUUAUCUCUUUGCAAUUUCUUCCACUGUAUAUUUUUGGUUCUAUAAUUAAAAUCUAGAACAUUUUGCUCCAAAAAUAGCAUUUAGUAACAUUAUUUAAAUUCCCAUUUUAAAAAUAGUCUGUAUUUACAAUGAGCAUUUCUGAUUAUAAAAAAUUAAAAUAUUUGUAGAGACUACUCUUUUAUUUUAGCAUGACCUUUAUUAAAUGGAAAGAAGCCUGACUAUUUUCAUUAUCAUCUCCUAUAAAUAUUGUAUCUCACAAUAAAUCCACUCUGUAAAUGUUUAGUUACACAUAAAAACUGUCUUAUCUUUGUCUUCUUUGAAGACUGAUAUAAAAUGACAUGAAGAUUCCCUUAUUAGCAGAGACAUGUUAUAUACUCAGUUUAAAAUUUUAAAAGGAAACCUUAAAUUCUCACCAUUACAGGGUGUGGAAAUGUAAGUGACUUUACUUGUUGGUAUGUACUUCAUUCCUAGAAUAAGGACUUAGCCAAAAGAGGUUUCAAUUUAGUAGAAUAACAAGUGCAUAAACAACUAGGGCAAAACAUAACAUCCAGAAAAAAGAGAGGACAAAAAAGUUUAUAGGUGAUACGUUCAGAUGUGGGUCAUCAGGAAUGAUUCCUCAAUGAAAGUAGCAUUUGAGUUGGGCCUUAAAGAAGGGGGAAAAAAAAGCAAGUGGAUGGAUGCUUAAAAGUAAAGCAAAUGAGAAGAAUGACCUAACAUUAAAAGUGGAAGCAGAAAUGUAGUUUAAGAGAGGAAUCAACAAUAAAAUUUGUAUAAAGCAUAGAAUGAGCAAAUGUGUAAGAGGAUGAGAAAGAAAAAGGAAAAAGGGGAUCCCAAGACAACUCUGAUCCCGGAUAAUGAGGAAAUAUUAGUGUCUUUUACAUCAAACAAAACGAACAUAAAACUAACAAGAAAUAAGCAAACAAACAAGCAGAACAAAUUUUAGAUUGAAAGUUGUCCUGGUCUGGAAGAAAAUUACUUCAGAUUUGGAUAUGUAUUUUUACCAAUACUUCUUUUUUAAGAUUUUAUUUAUUUGAGAGACAGAGAGAGCACAAGCAGGGGGACGAACAGAGGGAGAGGGAGAAGCAGACUCUCUGCUGAGCAGGGAACCAAACAUGGGACUCAAUCCCAGGACCCUGAAAUUACUACCUGAGCUGAAGGCAGAUGCUUAACUGACUGAGCCACCUAGGCGUCCCCUUAUCUAUGCUUCUUAACAGUUUGCCUAUGCUCAAUGGUCUUCAGAGUCUAAUAAUUGAUUAUAUGAACUGAAUAUUAAAAGAUAAUAUUAUUCCUAACUAGAUGAGCACAGGCUUUCAAAUUAAAAACUGAGUCCCCAGUCUGCUUCUCUUUUCAUUAAACACAACUCCUCCCCUUCCUCCCUACCUCUCUGUCUGGGAUAGUUCAUUGCUCAUGAUCUACAGACCUAAUGUCUCCAGGGUGCCAUCAUUCUACAGCACCAGGGACUCUUAGGAGCCUUACGAUGGGUUACCUCGGAUGUAAAUGCAGUAUCUGAAAUUCCAUAUUGCAUUUUUUCGCUUGAGUUUGUACACCCGAUUUGAGUUACUUGGGAGACAGCAAGCUGCAUAAACCCAUGACAAGUAACCCAGCAAAGACCCCUAGUUGGUUCCAAGACUGAAUUCUAGCCACGCAGUCACAUAUGGAAAGAAGGAAUGACAGCCAAUGACAACACCACAAAAUGUGCCUGUGAAUCUUAGACAAAUGGACCAUGCAGUAAGCAAGCAAUGGACUCACUUCAGGGGGUUUCUCAGCCUGAGGGAAGUAGAGUAAGUCCAUCUCAAAUAAACUGUUACUAAAAGAGGAGACAAGGUAAAAGGAAAGAAAAUAUCCUUUGUGACCUCUGGUGGGCUUUUAUACAAAACCUAAAUGUGAAGGGAAAUGAUUGAGUUCUGUGCAGGCUGCUUGCUCCAAUUGUAUGGCUGGUUGCUAAUGUAAUAAGUUUCCUGAGAUAUCAACAUAUUUGAUAAAGGGGUUUUACAUUUCUCUUUGUUAAUAUUCCUUGACUUUGUUCUGAACUGUUGUGUCACAUUUAUUGCAAAUGGUUUCCACAAUAUUUUAUUUCAUUAAAUCUUUAGGAAGUACUUUAUUUACCCAGUGCUACCAUUUCUUAGAGCUAAAAGCAUUAUCCUCAAUAGUAUUAGAACAGAUUUUACCUUUGCUUUUAGAACUGAGUCCUAGAAAAGAAUAUAAACCAAUAGUUUAAUUUUAUAUUUCAUGACAUUGAUUUUUAGGUGGAACAAGUUUGCUUUAUUUAAACAACUGAUUUGCUGAAAACUAAUUAACAAGAGUUUGAGAAAUAUAUAGUAUUGUGAUAUUUAAAUAGUUUGGUUAUAAAGUAAUUUUUACAGAGCUGUAUUUGAACAGGCAAUAUAGUACCAACAAUUAUCUGUAAUUAUGCAGGUCCAAUUGCAGAAUAAAAGUUUCAAUGUCACUAAGCACAAUAAGGAUAAUUACUCUUCCAUUAUUCUGAUGGGCAUGUAAUUAGCAACUUAAAAAAACUUUCACAGGGAUGUAACGCCACAGUUUCAAUAAAGACUUACAGUGUAAGCAGCUGGAUUAAUUGUAUUGUAUUUAAAACUGAUCUUUUUCAUUGUAGUUUUAAAUCAAAUACAAGCAUUUUUUCAAACAAAGCCUGUUUUUCCUUUCUAAGCAUUGGCAAAAGCUAGAGCAUAUACAGUAUGCCAUUGGACCUAA